ACGCUGGCGGCAGGCUUAACACAUGCAAGUCGAACGGUAACAGGAAUUAGCUUGCUAAUUUGCUGACGAGUGGCGGACGGGUGAGUAAUGCUUGGGAAACUGGCUUAUGGAGGGGGAUAACUACGGGAAACUGUAGCUAAUACCGCGUAAAAUCUUCGGAUUAAAGGGUGGGACUUUCGAGCCACCUGCCAUAAGAUGAGCCCAAGUGGGAUUAGGUAGUUGGUUAGGUAAAGGCUGACCAAGCCGACGAUCUCUAGCUGGUCUGAGAGGAUGACCAGCCACACUGGAACUGAGACACGGUCCAGACUCCUACGGGAGGCAGCAGUGGGGAAUAUUGCACAAUGGGGGGAACCCUGAUGCAGCCAUGCCGCGUGAAUGAAGAAGGCCUUCGGGUUGUAAAGUUCUUUCGGUGACGAGGAAGGUUGAUAGGUUAAUAGCCUAUCAAAUUGACGUUAAUCACAGAAGAAGCACCGGCUAACUCCGUGCCAGCAGCCGCGGUAAUACGGGGGGUGCGAGCGUUAAUCGGAAUAACUGGGCGUAAAGGGCACGCAGGCGGUGACUUAAGUGAGAUGUGAAAGCCCCGAGCUUAACUUGGGAAUUGCAUUUCAUACUGGUCGCUAGAGUACUUUAGGGAGGGGUAGAAUUCCACGUGUAGCGGUGAAAUGCGUAGAGAUGUGGAGGAAUACCGAAGGCGAAGGCAGCCCCUUGGGAAUGUACUGACGCUCAUGUGCGAAAGCGUGGGGAGCAAACAGGAUUAGAUACCCUGGUAGUCCACGCUGUAAACGAUGUCGAUUUGGGGAUUGGGCUUUGAGCUUGGUGCCCGUAGCUAACGUGAUAAAUCGACCGCCUGGGGAGUACGGCCGCAAGGUUAAAACUCAAAUGAAUUGACGGGGGCCCGCACAAGCGGUGGAGCAUGU
RNAcentral lists this ribosomal RNA (917 nucleotides) under uncultured bacterium. Its description in RNAcentral is "bacterial SSU rRNA". It matches the Rfam family "Bacterial small subunit ribosomal RNA", at positions 33 to 942 of the family's 1533-position model. The record is from RNAcentral.